Molecule: ribosomal RNA, 798 nt
Filed under: Klebsiella pneumoniae
Lineage: Bacteria; Pseudomonadati; Pseudomonadota; Gammaproteobacteria; Enterobacterales; Enterobacteriaceae
Description: bacterial LSU rRNA
Rfam family: Bacterial large subunit ribosomal RNA
Source: RNAcentral
GGGUUGUGAGGUUAAGCGACUAAGCGUACACGGUGGAUGCCCUGGCAGUCAGAGGCGAUGAAGGACGUGCUAAUCUGCGAAAAGCGUCGGUAAGGUGAUAUGAACCGUUAUAACCGGCGAUGUCCGAAUGGGGAAACCCAGUGUGAUUCGUCACACUAUCGUUAACUGAAUACAUAGGUUAACGAGGCGAACCGGGGGAACUGAAACAUCUAAGUACCCCGAGGAAAAGAAAUCAACCGAGAUUCCCCCAGUAGCGGCGAGCGAACGGGGAGCAGCCCAGAGUCUGAAUCAGCUUGUGUGUUAGUGGAACGGUCUGGAAAGUCCGACGGUACAGGGUGAUAGUCCCGUACACCAAAAUGCACAGGCUGUGAACUCGAAGAGUAGGGCGGGACACGUGGUAUCCUGUCUGAAUAUGGGGGGACCAUCCUCCAAGGCUAAAUACUCCUGACUGACCGAUAGUGAACCAGUACCGUGAGGGAAAGGCGAAAAGAACCCCGGCGAGGGGAGUGAAAAAGAACCUGAAACCGUGUACGUACAAGCAGUGGGAGCACCUUCGGGUGUGACUGCGUACCUUUUGUAUAAUGGGUCAGCGACUUAUAUUCUGUAGCAAGGUUAACCGUAUAGGGGAGCCGCAGGGAAACCGAGUCUUAACUGGGCGUUAAGUUGCAGGGUAUAGACCCGAAACCCGGUGAUCUAGCCAUGGGCAGGUUGAAGGUUGGGUAACACUAACUGGAGGACCGAACCGACUAAUGUUGAAAAAUUAGCGGAUGACUUGUGGCUGGGGGUGAAAGGCCAAUC